RNAcentral lists this ribosomal RNA (253 nucleotides) under uncultured bacterium. Its description in RNAcentral is "partial 16S ribosomal RNA". It matches the Rfam family "Bacterial small subunit ribosomal RNA", at positions 524 to 776 of the family's 1533-position model. The record is from RNAcentral.
GACAGAGGGUGCAAACGUUGUUCGGAAUUACUGGGCGUAAAGCGUGUGUAGGCGGCCAUGUAAGUCGGAUGUGAAAGCCCCGGGCUUAACCCGGGAAGUGCAUUCGAUACUGCGUGGCUUGAGUAUCGGAGAGGUUGGUGGAAUUCUCGGUGUAGAGGUGAAAUUCGUAGAUAUCGAGAGGAACACCGGUGGUGUAGACGGCUUACUGGACCAUAACUGACGCUGAGACACGAAAGCGUGGGUAGCAAACAGG